This 236-nucleotide unclassified non-coding RNA is filed under the name Hevea brasiliensis (rubber tree). The record is from RNAcentral. Lineage: Eukaryota; Viridiplantae; Streptophyta; Magnoliopsida; Malpighiales; Euphorbiaceae.
UGUUAAGAUCGCUUCUCCAGAAACUAACAAAGUCCCACCUGAUGGCUUGGUCUCUAUUAUAUUUGGGGAAGAUGGAGUAUCUACUUCAUAGUAUUUACUUUCUGUUUUCUUAUCAUCAGAUAAAUCUUGGCCUCGGACAGAAGGAUUUGGUUCUUCCAAUUGAUCCGAAGAAGUGAAUUCAGAAACUGUGGUUCUUUCCAUUUUCUUAUUAUCAGUCUCCUCAUGUUCACGGCCGG